Drosophila sulfurigaster albostrigata is the source of this 334-nucleotide long non-coding RNA. RefSeq lists it as uncharacterized. Lineage: Eukaryota; Metazoa; Arthropoda; Insecta; Diptera; Drosophilidae. The transcript is spliced from 3 exons. The record is from RefSeq and is a predicted model, not a curated record.
CGCGUUAUCAGGAAAUUACUUCCAAAACAAAAUCCUGGACGGCGGCCAAGGAAAGAACAUUUCUUCGUGUGUGAUACAAUAACUUGAACAUAAUGCACAGUGCUCUUCUCCUAGUAGGCUAUGAUUUUUUUUUAUAAAUUUUUGUCUACUUUUAUAAAUGAAUAAAUGAAUAAUGCUCAGUCGGAAACAAAAAAUUGAAGCUGAAAAAAGAAAAAUUAACUUUAGCUAGAAUAAUAAAUGGAUAAAAAAGGUAUAGUGAACAGGCCUUCGUCGUCUUUGUCUCUAAGAGACAAGAAAAUUUGUCUGGACGUAUGGAAACGAUGUCAUUAUUUUA